UACUGAGUUACCGCUCUACAACCCUUUGUGAACAUACCUAACCGUUGCUUCGGCGGGCAGGGGAAGCCUCUCGCGGGCCUCCCCUCCCGGCGCCGGCCCCACCACGGGGACGGGGCGCCCGCCGGAGGAAACCAAACUCUAUUUACACGACGUCUCUUCUGAGUGGCACAAGCAAAUAAUUAAAACUUUUAACAACGGAUCUCUUGGUUCUGGCAUCGAUGAAGAACGCAGCGAAAUGCGAUAAGUAAUGUGAAUUGCAGAAUUCAGUGAAUCAUCGAAUCUUUGAACGCACAUUGCGCUCGCCAGCAUUCUGGCGAGCAUGCCUGUUCGAGCGUCAUUUCAACCCUCAAGCACCGCUUGGUUUUGGGGCCCCACGGCAGACGUGGGCCCUUAAAGGUAGUGGCGGACCCUCCCGGAGCCUCCUUUGCGUAGUAACUAACGUCUCGCACUGGGAUCCGGAGGGACUCUUGCCGUAAAACCCCCAAAUUCUUUACAGGUUGACCUCGGAUCAGGUAGGAAUACCCGCUGAACUU
This 533-nucleotide ribosomal RNA is filed under the name Colletotrichum acutatum. RNAcentral's name for it is "eukaryotic LSU rRNA". The stretch from base 184 to 337 matches the Rfam family "5.8S ribosomal RNA". Lineage: Eukaryota; Fungi; Ascomycota; Sordariomycetes; Glomerellales; Glomerellaceae. The record is from RNAcentral.